AUUGAACGCUGGCGGCAGGCCUAACACAUGCAAGUCGAGCGGAUGAAGGGAGCUUGCUCCUGGAUUCAGCGGCGGACGGGUGAGUAAUGCCUAGGAAUCUGCCUGGUAGUGGGGGAUAACGUCCGGAAACGGGCGCUAAUACCGCAUACGUCCUGAGGGAGAAAGUGGGGGAUCUUCGGACCUCACGCUAUCAGAUGAGCCUAGGUCGGAUUAGCUAGUUGGUGGGGUAAAGGCCUACCAAGGCGACGAUCCGUAACUGGUCUGAGAGGAUGAUCAGUCACACUGGCACUGAGACACGGUCCAGACUCCUACGGGGGGCAGCAGUGGGGAAUAUUGGACAAUGGGCGAAAGCCUGAUCCAGCCAUGCCGCGUGUGUGAAGAAGGUCUUCGGAUUGUAAAGCACUUUAAGUUGGGAGGAAGGGCAGUAAGUUAAUACCUUGCUGUUUUGACGUUACCAACAGAAUAAGCACCGGCUAACUUCGUG
Molecule: ribosomal RNA, 484 nt
Filed under: uncultured bacterium
Lineage: Bacteria
Description: partial 16S ribosomal RNA
Rfam family: Bacterial small subunit ribosomal RNA
Source: RNAcentral